This 319-nucleotide transfer-messenger RNA is filed under the name Rhodospirillales bacterium. It matches the Rfam family "Alphaproteobacteria transfer-messenger RNA". From Rfam's summary of the family: Bacterial tmRNA, also known as 10Sa RNA or SsrA, is named for its dual tRNA and mRNA-like properties. The record is from RNAcentral. Lineage: Bacteria; Pseudomonadati; Pseudomonadota; Alphaproteobacteria; Rhodospirillales.
CCCCUUUUCCAAAGCUCCCGAAGGCACUAUAUUGGGGGUGUCGGGCAACCGACUAUGGCGAUAAACGUCGUUCGGAAUAAGCGUUGCGGACCCGGGGGCAGUACCCGGCGCCUCCACCAAAUUCCCGGGCGCCCGUCGGGGCGCCCUGCCAAGGGGGCGAUACAGGAUCGACGUGCGCGGUAAAGGUGCGGUUUUCGCCCGGUAUGGUACCACCGUUAUCGGGCCAAACUCACAAAUGCCAAUGAUAACGAGGCAUUUGCUGUAGCCGCUUAGGCUGCAACGGGGUUCGGAGGGCACCUGGCAACAGAAGCCCUCCACU